AAGCCCACUAAAAACAAGGGACUCAGUUAAAAGGGUUGGGCAAAAAGGCCAUCUACUUGUUUUCUUCUCCCACACUCGGAUCUCCUUCCAAUUCCAGACGUUCCUACAUUCAUUUCCCACGAAUUUCUGAGGAUAUGGGUUUGUGGACUCUACUGGAGGGCUGUCUGCUCAUUGCAAAUGCAUUGGCAAUAUUAAAUGAAGACCGAUUCCUGGCACCUAGAGGGUGGAGUUUCUCAGAAUUCUCAGGGGGCAGAACAAAGUCAUUUAAGGGCCAGCUUAUAGGUCUCAUAUACGCAACCCAGUACUUACGAGUUCCUCUGAUACUACUGAACUCCAUUUGCAUCAUCAUAAAGUUGGUGUCUGGGUGAUGUUGUUGCAGAUCAGAAGCAGUUGGUUCAGAACAUUGGGGAAUUCCUUUGCCAGAAAUGCCUUCUACAGUAGGGAGCCAUUAUAAGUUUAUUUUCAUAGCUGUAACAACUUAUUUGGGGUGUGAACUUUGUUGAUUUGGUUGUUAGUUUUUGUGCCAUUGAGACAACUUUUGCACCCUAUGAAUUGCAAGUGAGUUUGUUGAGGUAUCACUAUUCUGCUUCUUGCCUCAAUUUGUCCACAUUUAUUCAUCCAUUGGUUCAUCUACUUUGUUGAGGUAUGAAGCCUUAUGUAUUGGCCUUUUGUAUUGUUAAUUUCACUUUUGUACCUAACUGUGAUUAAAAAUUUAGAUAUAGCAUUAUCAUGGUAUUGAUUA
RNA transcript from Vitis vinifera (wine grape), 742 nucleotides. RefSeq lists it as uncharacterized. The transcript has 3 exons. The record is from RefSeq and is a predicted model, not a curated record. Lineage: Eukaryota; Viridiplantae; Streptophyta; Magnoliopsida; Vitales; Vitaceae.